Ailuropoda melanoleuca (giant panda) is the source of this 73-nucleotide non-coding RNA. The record is from Rfam. Lineage: Eukaryota; Metazoa; Chordata; Mammalia; Carnivora; Ursidae.
ACCUGGCUGGCUUAGUUGGCAGAGUAUGUGACUCUUGAUCUCAGGGUAGUGAGUUCAAGCCCCACCUUGGGUG